GACGAACGCUGGCGGCGUGCCUAAUACAUGCAAGUCGAACGGUCCGGCACUCAACCGACCCUCAGUCUAACUGUAGGGGAAGUUGAGUGCCGGGUAGUGGCGGACGGGUGAGUAACGCGUGGGCAACCAACCCUGUACAGUGGGAUAACACCGGGAAACCGGUGCUAAUACCGCAUGACACCUAUAUGGUGCAUACCGUAUAGGUUAAAGGAUUUAACCGGUACAGGACGGGCCCGCGUCCCAUUAGCUAGUUGGUGAGGUAACGGCCCACCAAGGCGACGAUGGGUAGCCGACCUGAGAGGGUGACCGGCCACACUGGGACUGAGACACGGCCCAGACUCCUACGGGAGGCAGCAGUGGGGAAUAUUGCGCAAUGGGGGGAACCCUGACGCAGCGACGCCGCGUGAGCGACGAAGGCCUUCGGGUCGUAAAGCUCUGUUCUUGGGGACGAAGGAAAUGACGGUACCCAAGGAGAAAGCCCCGGCUAACUACGUG
Molecule: ribosomal RNA, 495 nt
Filed under: uncultured bacterium
Lineage: Bacteria
Description: bacterial SSU rRNA
Rfam family: Bacterial small subunit ribosomal RNA
Source: RNAcentral